RNAcentral lists this long non-coding RNA (628 nucleotides) under Zonotrichia albicollis (white-throated sparrow). RNAcentral describes it as "lncRNA (ENSZALG00000000732.1)". Lineage: Eukaryota; Metazoa; Chordata; Aves; Passeriformes; Passerellidae. The record is from RNAcentral.
UGUCCGGGCUCACAGGUACCGACUCCUUCCACCUGGGGCUUCAUCCACGGGGCUCAGGUGCUCCAGGUGGAUACACCACACCUGUCCAGGUGUUGCAGGUGAAGCUUUUGGGGUCCUCCUGAGAUUUUUCAGGUCCACACCUGUGCAGGUGCGCAUUUCUGGGGUUUCCACACGUGGGGCUCAGGUGUCGCAGUCCAGGUGUUACCCCCACACCUUUUUGGGGUCCAAACUCAAUGUUUGGGGUCCACACCUGUCCAGGUGUUCCUGCAACACCUUUUUGGGGUCCACAGGGGAUUUUUGGGGUCCACACCUGUCCAGGUGUGCAGAUCUGUGGCUCCUAAACAUGGAGCUCAGGUGUCACUGUCCAGGUGUUGCAGGUGAAGCUUUUUGGGGUCCACACCUGUCCUGAGAUGGAGUUCUGGGGUUUCCACACCUGGGGCUCAGGUGUCGCUGUCCAGGUGUUCCUGCCACACCUUUUUGGGGUCCAAAUGCAAUUUUUGGGUUCACACCUGUCUGGGCUCACAGGUACCGACUCCUCUCACCUGGGGCUUCAUCCACGGGGCUCAGGUGCUCCAGGUGGAUACACCACACCUGUCCAGGUGUUGCAGGUGAAGCUUUUGGGUUCUUC